Long non-coding RNA from Mus spicilegus (steppe mouse), 1792 nucleotides. NCBI's taxonomy places the organism in Eukaryota, Metazoa, Chordata, Mammalia, Rodentia, Muridae. The record is from Ensembl.
GCCUUCUUAAUUGUAAUUUGUCCAUGUCUUGUUUUUGAUACGGGUUCUUACCACGAAGCCCCAGCUGGCCCUGAGUUUGCAAUGUCCUUUCUGCCUCUGUCUUCUAUUGCUGCAUUUAAAAGUACAUGCCUAGCUUUUACUUCUUGUUUUGAGACAGAUCUUACCAAGUUGCCCACACUGGCCUGGCACUCAAUCUACAGCCUGGAGCUGGCCUUGAACUUGUGAUCUUUUUGCUCCAGAAUAUAGAGUCAUUGGAAUAACAGGCCUGACUAGAAUAACUGAAGACUCCCAUCCCUCACACACCCAGGGAUUCACUAUACAUAGUGACAGACCCUGCUGGCUUCAAACUGACAGAGAUUCUCCUGUCUCUGCCUCCCCAGUUCUGGGAUGAAAGGCAUGUGUUUUGGCCUGGAAUUCUUCAUUCUCCUGCCUUAGUUUCCCUGGUGCUGGGAUAAUGGGGGUGGGGGUGGGGGGAGCACCACCAUGCCUACCUUGAAGAUUUCUUGUACCAAUGUGAGGAAGAUGAGAAGCCUCAGAAGAAGGCCGGAAGAAAGAGUCCCCGGGGUUGAGCCGACCUCUCUCCCUGUAUUCCUUUCUCAGGUUUCACCUCCCUCCAUCUCCUUCCAGGAACCUGAGAGGAGACCAGCCACGUUGAAGGUCGAAGGCAGGACUUCCCUGGCCCAGGCUUUUGGGCGGCGCCCGCCUAGGAGGAGCCUGCCACCCACUGGGAGCGAGCGGUACUGCAGCCCCACCCCCACCCCCCAGGGAACUCAGGAGCACAGAGAACUUUGACAUCACUGGAGGACCAGAAGCCAGAGGGAGGGUAGGAAUUAAUCCGGAGAGGCUUCCUGUUGGAGGUGGGGAGCUGGGGACUGGCUGGGAAGAGCAGACAGAGGUGAGGUAUGGAGUAUCAAGAACCCUUCCAGAGCAGCCUGAGGGAAGUCAGGAGUGGACAAGCGUAAUGAUCUAGACGGGGAAGGAAAAAUGGCUGAGCAAGACAGGGUCUCACUGUGUAGCCCUGGUUGUCCCGGAAUUCGUUAAGUAGACCAGGCUAGCCUCAAACUCAGAGAGAUCUGCUUGCCUCUGUUACCAGUAAAGGUGCUCACUACCACACCCUGUUUACUUUAUUUAUUUAUUUAUUUAUUUAUUUAUUUAUUUAUUUAUUCUUUUGAGAGAAGAAGGGGGUCUUGCUAUAUGGUGUGGGUUGGCCUCGAACUCACACAAGUUUAAGCUCUUGCCAGACACUCUCCUGUGGUCCCUUGAGUUACCGCUGUAGUGUUUUUUGUUUUUGUUUUUGUUUUUGUUUUUCGAGACAGGGUUUCUCUGUAUAGCCCUGGCUGUCCUGGAGCUCACCUUGUAGACAGGCUGGCCUCGAACUCAGAAAUCCACCUGCCUCUGCCUCCCAAGUGCUGGGAUUAAAGGCAUGCUCCACUACAUCCGGCUUUGUAAUGUUUCUUUAAGGCGCUUUUAAAAUCACAUAUAUUUUUAUUUGUGGGCACACACAUGCACAUAUGUCCACAGCACACAUGUGGAGACGAGAGGACAAUUUUCAGGACUAGUUUCUCUCCCUUCCACGGAGUGAGUCCCAGUUAUCAAACUCAGCCAUCAUGAUUGGUAGAAAGCACCUUACCCUCCUCCCAAUACUUCCCCCCAACCAUUCCAGUUCUAACCAUUAGAAACAGUAUCUGUAUGUGUACAUGUCUGCUUCUGUGUGUGCAAUUAUGCCAGUGGGCAGGCAGAAGGGGGUGUCAAACCCCUUGGCUGUGCAGUUGCAGGUGCUUGUGGACACCAG